Small nucleolar RNA from Lactuca sativa (garden lettuce), 103 nucleotides. NCBI's taxonomy places the organism in Eukaryota, Viridiplantae, Streptophyta, Magnoliopsida, Asterales, Asteraceae. The record is from RefSeq and is a predicted model, not a curated record.
AAAUCAUGUUGAGGGUAAUUUCAUAACAACCCCUUGUAUCUUUACCAAGCUUCAUAUAAGGACUCGCCAUCAUUUUUUGGAAGUUCGCUCUCUUCUUGAGUUU